AGGAGAGGGAGAUGGUAGCGGUGGAGCGGAUGUUGAGACUGGCUGAGCAGUGCCUGGAGCGAGCCAAGUCAUUUAUAGAGAGGAACCGCCCUGAUCCCCCUGACUUCUCUUCCUCUGCCUCUGCGUCCUCUUCCUGUUCACCUGGCCAAUCAGAACCCCAUCAGUCUGCUGUCCUCCCAAUCACCACUGCUGCAAACACUGGGGUUUCUCUCUGCUUGACCUCUGCUGUCACUGUCCCUCCAUCUGGUGUUCCUGUUGACACAGGGUGUGAAGCAACCAGCCCAGCAAAGACUGGUCACCGCAGGGUGAUGUCAGAUGGUGGCGGGGAGCUCUCCCCUUUUCUGCCCCCUGAAGUCUUCCAGAGACUUCAAACAGUAGAGUCACAGGGCACAAGCAAAAAGGAGCUGACACCCAUUGAACAAGCUUCACGUUUGAACCAGAAGUUAAAAGCCGAUUAUGAAGCUCGUCUAGCAAGGCUGACACCUGGUCAGGCCUACCAAAAGACAUCUUUGAUACGGAAAAUGUUUCGGUGUCAAGUGGAGCUCCGAGCGUACUGGAGAAAACUAAAGGCGUUUGUAAAGACACUCUCUCUCCAGCGGCAGAUGAUGGAGAACCUCAUCAUAGCCAAGGCCCGUCAGGAUGCUCUCCAGCGGAAGAUGGAGGAGAGAAGACUUAGGCUACAGGAAGAGGCUAACAGGAGAUUUGCAGCAUCUGGUGCAAUGACUGCAGAGGAGCAAGAGCAGCGAACUCUCUAUACCAGCGUACUAGAGUAUGAACAAGACCAUGAUUGGCCCAAACUGUGGAAAGCCAACAUGAAGGAGAAUCCAAAUGAUGUUACAUUAGUGUCACGUCUAGUCUCCUACCUGCUCAGCCAGUCUGACCACCCUGUGGUGAAGCUGCUGAGGAAACACCAGUACCGGGUUUACAACAGACUCUAUCCUAUGAUUAGCAAAAGCCUCCCCCAGAGUCCUAACCUGCUGCUGAGACCCUCUUGCAGCACUCACACCCUGCUCCAUCCAGAGACCCAGAGGAAGCCAACCAGCACCGUGAGCAGUAGCAGCCAGAGCGUCAGCACCAGCUUGUCACUUUCCCCCUCGCUCUCUCAUGACCUCCACGCCAACUGUGACAAUGAGGAAGGGGAGGAGCUUCCUGCACAGGCGACAGUGGACCGGGAGAACUCGUUUGAAGAUCUGGAACAGUUUCUGACCCAGAUGGACUGGGCCCCACCCCACAGUAGCAGAGGUGACGUCGGCUCAGAUUCAGACCCUACCUGUGAUAGCUCAAUGCUGAAUGAGGGCCACACACAGGAGCUGGAGAUGAGAGCACUGAAAGAACAUCUGAAGGCCAUCGUCAAAGACAUUCAUAUUGCAAUUGAUCAGCUUCUGUCAUUGUGUUUGCUGUCCUUUGAGUUUCUAAACACAGCAAGUUCCAAAGACCUGUGCCUUGCCAGCAUAGAGGAGGCUUUCUUCACACCCCUGUGGAGCGCUCUGGUGGCUCUUUUCAGGAAGGUCAACAGGGAAAGAGAGCAGGCCUUUGAAACAAGUAUGAAACUAUACCGGGAUGCCUCACCUGGAGAUGUCGGUGUUCCCUUGAAACUGUUCCCCCAAGAACCUGGCACACUACAAGGUUCCUACCCCUAUGAGUCUGCUGUUCAGGAGCUUAAGCUUCUUGUUAAAGACUGUUGUCCACAGAAGAAGUUGGAAUGUAUUGUUAGGACAUUACGUGUGAUCUGUGCCUGUGCUGAAGAUUACAGGUGUCUUCAUGAGGUGGACUCUACACCCAAAACAGCCGCUAUCGGAGCAGAUGACCUGUUGCCCAUCCUGUCCUUUGUGGCUCUGCAGUGCCAGUGUCCUCAGCUGGUGUCUGAAUGUGCUGCUUUGGAGGAGUUCAUUCAUGAAGGCCCUCUGUUUCAGCUACCUGAUAGGAGAGGAGGGCUACUGUCUGACCUCUAUGCAGAGUGCCCUGGCCUAUGUUGAGUCACUACACACAGGAGGAGCUCACUUUCCUGCAGACAAGCUCAUAUGAAAAAGAUGUUUCACCUCAUCGAAAAAGACUGCAGAUGGGGAUGGUGCCUGGAUGAUGCAGGAGGCUAUGAUGGGCUCAUGGCUGAAUAUCAGCAGAAGCCUGUGGACUUGAAGAAAAAACAACAUGCCACUCUGAAUCAGUCACAAUCACCACCAGCAGCCACUACAGCACCACCCAGCAUGUCAAUCGCCUCUUGCUUGCUUUCUCUUGUUCUUUCUCUCCUUGAAUGUCUUCUUUGUGUCCCUUUCUGGUUCAUUUACCUUGUAACCCCCAGACCACUGAGUACACUGGUCACUACCUCCUGAUGAGGGUUUUAAUAACCAUCAUACAGUGCAGCAGUGCAGUGUCAGUAUUAGCUGUAUACUUAGCAUCUUAAACCAUCACAGUUACAUUUUCAGCCUUAUAUUUUAAAGCUUUGUUUGCUCUUAAUCGGUUUCCCUCCAGGAGUAAGCUUAAUAACACCAUCAUCGGCAUGUUACUGAAGCUAGAGCCAGAGACAAUUAGCUAGCUUAGCAUAAAGACUGGAAGCAGGGGGAAACAGACUGGCUACCUCCAAAGAUAUUUGCCCCCAAACUUCUCUAAAGCUUACACAUUAUAUUUUGCUUGUUUGCCUGUUUCAGUCACAACUUUGUUGUCACCAUUUGUUUUAUGUACAAAUCCCUCUUUGAAAGGAGCCAGACUGGCUGCUGUGUCUCCAUUUGCUGUCAUAAUUCUAAUUCAAGCUACUUGCCGCCUGCUGGCCAUUAACAUUAGACCACUAUUACAUUACAUGAAUAUGAUAAUGCGCUGAAUAUGACCAUAUAUAUUUGUGUGUAUUAAUAGUUACCUUUAAUACACUGUCAACAUGAAAAAUGACUACAGCCUCUCAGUGAAGAGCAGUGUACUAUCAGAGGAUCACCACUGUCUGCUCUGCUGUUCUCUUUCUAUUUUAGAGAAUAUCAGGGACUUUAACCUCAUGUUAACACAGCAUAAAUCUCAAAAUGUGUACUUACAGAAGUGGGGACAAAGGCUUCAUUCUUUUAUUUAAUAGACAGAAAUGUGCACAAUAGUGAGAAGAAUGACAGUUCCACUAGUGCUCCUCCUAACAUGGCUGCUGUGGUAAAAUGCUCACCCUGUUGACAUACUUUGGCCCUAAACCACUUUACAAACCACAUUUUGAACCAAUUGGUUUAUAAUUGAGUUGCUCUGUGUUACAUGCUGGCAUAUGUCUGUGUUUAUGAGUAUGGUGAUUUUGUGUCCUCUCAGCAUGGUGGGACACACCCUGGUGGAUAUAGCGUGACUUGAGAGGUCUGACUCUGUGCUUUCGUGACCUCAGAGCUGGCUGCUGAUAUGACACAAGCCUCUUGAGUGUGUGAGCAUUUAUCAAUGAUUUCCAAAACAACAAGCAUGAAGGCAGCUCUUAUUAAAUAGAUGCAGCAUUUACGGGCCUAUCACCCUUUUCUCACUGUGUCAUGACUCCUAGUGACACCAGGCAGGGAAAAAAAUUAUACCUCAUCAGAGACAACACACACACACACACACACACACACACACACACACACACACAUACAUACAUACAUACAUACAUACACACGCACUCCUGCCAUCAUAGCUCCUGCUUAAAUUAAACUACCAUCUGUUAGUCAGCUUGUCACACCAUCUCUUGUGGCGUUGCCUGGCCAGCCAACAUGUGGUGUGUUGGUUUUUCAGAAACUGAAAGCUUUAUUGCUGUUUUAGUGAGGUCUUGCUGCUUGCUCACAAAAGGCAGAGCACCAAGCUUAUGGCUUGUUUUCCAUCUGGUUCAAGAUUUUAAUCCCUCAUCUCAGCCACUCCCGUUUUUAAUCAAAAGCAGAGGAGCAAUUUGGCGGCCACUCAACUAUUGAACUGUUCUUCCUUCUUGUAUCAGAGUUCUAAUGAUACUCUCGUUGCUACUCUGUUGUCACAUCAGGUGCAGGGCAGGGCCGAACCAUCAACAGAUGUCUCCAUCCCUUUUCAUCUACACAAACAUCAGUUUGUCAGAAUAAAUGUGUUCAAUCUGAGCUAUGUUAGUGCAGUUGCAAUUCCCCUGGUUACCAAUAAGCUGAAUGCUGCAUACUACCUUUUUUCUGCCUAUAGUCUCAUUCCUGUAAUAAAAAAAGGGAUUUGUCAAGAAUGAAUUGUAGGAUCCUGGCUGGUUCAUCACAAGGCUUAACCCUUUAUCGUGCAUUCAUUGAAAUACUUGGAAAUUCAAAAUUUCAACCCUAGAGUGUCAUAGCAGGGCACAACAAGACUUUUUUACUUUUGGGACAUUUUUGAAAAUAU
RNA transcript from Lates calcarifer (barramundi perch), 4305 nucleotides. It is a transcript of the gene named VPS9 domain containing 1, with no coding region annotated. Lineage: Eukaryota; Metazoa; Chordata; Actinopteri; Centropomidae. The transcript has 16 exons. The record is from RefSeq and is a predicted model, not a curated record.